GCAGUAGCCGCGGGAAUACGGAGGGCGCGAGCGUUACCCGGAUUUACUGGGCGUAAAGGGCGUGUAGGCGGCCUGGGGCGUCCCAUGUGAAAGGCCACGGCUCAACCGUGGAGGAGCGUGGGAUACGCUCAGGCUAGAGGGUGGGAGAGGGUGGUGGAAUUCCCGGAGUAGCGGUGAAAUGCGCAGAUACCGGGAGGAACGCCGAUGGCGAAGGCAGCCACCUGGUCCACUUCUGACGCUGAGGCGCGAAAGCGUGGGGAGCAAACCGGAUUAGAUACCCGCGUAGUCCCUGUCUCUUAUAC
This 302-nucleotide ribosomal RNA is filed under the name uncultured bacterium. RNAcentral's name for it is "partial 16S ribosomal RNA". It matches the Rfam family "Bacterial small subunit ribosomal RNA", at positions 508 to 807 of the family's 1533-position model. The record is from RNAcentral.